AGAGACAGCAGUCGCCGCGGUAAUACAGAGGGUGCGAGCGUUAAUCGGAUUUACUGGGCGUAAAGCGUGCGUAGGCGGCUUUUUAAGUCGGAUGUGAAAUCCCUGAGCUUAACUUAGGAAUUGCAUUCGAUACUGGGAAGCUAGAGUAUGGGAGAGGAUGGUAGAAUUCCAGGUGUAGCGGUGAAAUGCGUAGAGAUCUGGAGGAAUACCGAUGGCGAAGGCAGCCAUCUGGCCUAAUACUGACGCUGAGGUACGAAAGCAUGGGGAGCAAACAGGAUUAGAUACCCCCGUAGUCCCUGUCUCUUAUAC
RNAcentral lists this ribosomal RNA (309 nucleotides) under uncultured bacterium. Its description in RNAcentral is "partial 16S ribosomal RNA". It matches the Rfam family "Bacterial small subunit ribosomal RNA", at positions 504 to 807 of the family's 1533-position model. The record is from RNAcentral.